This 1571-nucleotide long non-coding RNA is filed under the name Mus musculus (house mouse). RNAcentral's name for it is "RIKEN cDNA 1810019D21 gene, transcript variant 2 (1810019D21Rik)". The record is from RNAcentral. Lineage: Eukaryota; Metazoa; Chordata; Mammalia; Rodentia; Muridae.
CAAGGACAGAGCUUCAUACUUGGCCACUCGCAGCAGCCUGAGCUUUGACCCACACCCCAUCGACCAACUGGCACAGAACUGUUUGCUCGUAGAGGGGGGUGGGUGGCACUCUGAAGGCUAUCCAGCACGAUCCGGCCCUUUCCCUUGGCAAUUCUGUGACACUUUCCAAUCUAAGGCCGACAGAGCAAGGCAACCAGAUUUUUUUCUACAGCACCCUCCCAGGUGAGCAGUGGGCCUGGAGCCCUUCUGUAACCUGGCAUCUGUAGGUCUUCUCAUUAAGAACGAGAGUCAGAAGAGGAAAGGACUUAACACUCAUUACAACUCAGUCAUGGGGCUCUGAAGCGUCCCGAGGUCCCCUCUUUCCCACCCUACCUGUCGGCUGCGCGGCUCCACCACUUGCCAAACUAGGAGGAUUAAGUCGGUCUCGUCCGAGCCUAGGUCCGGCCCCAGCGCACCGGCAGUGGCCCCGAACAAAACCACCAGCGACUGAGCAGGCACUCUGAGUCCUCCGCAAAAGAAUGUGCAGGAUCAGAGGCCUCUUUCCAUUCUGCAAGGGUCACGCAAGACCCAUGGAAUUCAACAGGAGGCAAUCUAGGGACUAUAAAAGGUCGCGACGUCUGGCUUGAGGUUAAUGGAAGUUACAAAGGGUCAAAAGCCGACAGUGAGCGCUACCAGGCCGCCCUGUGGGCUCAGGAUAGUUUCCCACCUACUCGACUGUAAUUAGUACUCUGGCGAGAGUAAAAAGGUACUGGCGUGGGACUUAGAAUACAGGAUGCCACCGGCUGAAGAAGAACCUUGUGUGUUUGGAAAAGCGGGCUGCUUCCUAUCGGUCUUGGAUAAAAGGCAACCCAGAGCCCGGGUGCAUCCCUAACUCAUGCCCAAGGAAGGUCGUGCGGAGCCAGAGGACCUAGAAUGUAUAGUGCGCCUUCUGGGUUUGUCCACACAAUAGCGCAGGAACACAGCGACCCAAUAUAGUGAGAAGUGGCCGCAGCGCACACCCUGAGACCCUUCACCAGGCGGCCCACCCGGAGCCUGCCUACUCAGCCCCGCUACCACGAUAAGCCUGGAAUGUCAAAUAUUUGUUCUAGGAACCCAGUGAAACCUUGAGGUAAAGCCCCUCCCCUCCUCCCUCCCAUUCCGGAGCGCGCCUGCGUCAGUCCAGGCUUUCCGGUAAGGACACUCCCUUCCAACUAGUUCCUUCUCGACACCCCUGCAACCCAUCGUCCUGACUAUUUAAACUUCACAAGGUCUUCGCUACAGGCUCAGGUUCAGUGAGGCAGAGUCUUGGCUUCCCUACCCAGUUAUCCCAGAGCUACUGGUAUCGGUUUCUACCCACAACCUCCGAGCAAGGCUCCCCUUUCAACCUGUAGACCUCGCCUCCCGAUUCUCGGGAGAUCUUGCUGACUGUGGAAUCCCUGGCUGUUCCGAACCCCCUGGAAAGAAGCGGCUGUUCCCAGGUUUCUGCAAGGUAACGAAUCUGAAGAGUCAACAGAAUUGAGCGGCUCCAUUCAUUCGACUCUGGUUCUCUCAACCAGGCAUUCCCCAUAUUAAAACAAUUCCAGAACUUCAAA